This is a long non-coding RNA of Epinephelus moara (kelp grouper), 2065 nucleotides long. RefSeq lists it as uncharacterized. The transcript has 2 exons. Lineage: Eukaryota; Metazoa; Chordata; Actinopteri; Perciformes; Serranidae. The record is from RefSeq and is a predicted model, not a curated record.
GCCAAUGAUUGGUGCAAUGCAGGGAAGGUGAACCAUGUGCCAUUAAGGGCCAACAGUCUGCAGGACUUCUUCCAACAAAUCCUUUAAACUAAAAGAGAAAAUACAUUGUUGCUUCAUGUCAUCGUUUGGUUGUCUGACAAGGAAAAUGCCAAUUGUUAGUCAGUGCCUUCAAACCCUAAAUGAGUAUUUUCUAAUUGCAGUUUUGUUAUGUUUACUAAAGGGUCUGGGUCCACAUGGCAUUUUUCCUGAAUGUCAGUGUCAUUUUUCAAUUGCUCCCAAUGUGAAGAGAGCUAAGCAGCCACCUUGAUAAAAAGUGCACAGUGUUGUUUUAAAGAGUGCUCCAGCUUUUUGUGUGGCCUCUCAAAGCACUCCAAGGUGAAAAUCUCUUAACUUUUCAGAAAGGCGCUAGUGACUUCUAUGCCGUUCCUUUAGCUAACGUUCCUGUCUAUGCAAGCUGUAUGAUGUCAGUCAGAAACUAUCACAACAAAGACAGAAAAGCCCAUCUGUGGAAGCACAUGGGCCUGACACUGAAUGUUGGUGGUGAGUGCUUUUAUCAUUGUACACGUUGUAAACUUGUUGUUAACUGUGUAGACAACCCUCUGUUAAUGUAGCGUUACACUGGCUGUCUAGCUAACGUUAAUGUAAAGUUAGAUAUUGUUGUCAUAGAAACAAAACUAUGUGUAGGCCUAGUGCGUCAAAGAAAAUUUCAUUAUAUAAAGCGUUGAAUGUUGUGCUCCCCAGCAUCCUGCCAUUGCUUUUCUGCCAAAGAAAAACACUACGUGGACACACACCCUAAAGGAUCUGUAUACUUCCUCCACCCAUACUGUUCUGCUUCUCAAACUCAAUUUGCUAUUGAGGACCAUGUGGUGCAGACAAAAGAUCUAGAUGAAGGAGCAUCCUCACACCAGGAGAGCAUCACACCAGGCCUCCUUGUUGUGGGCUUGCUACGUGGCCAACCUGUGACGUUGUCCUCCCAUCCUCUCCCGAAAAAACUCUGAUUUGUUCAGCUCUCAAGUGCUUCUAACUGAAUCUCUGUGGUUUGGAGUUCAGUUUCACUCCUGUGUUCCUGUUCAAACUUACAGCUGUCAGUUUUAUUUUACUCUGGCAGCUGUGUCACAUCUGCAUUUUCUGUGUGAAGUUAAUGCUGAUGCUACUGACCAGCAGGAGACUUUUACUGUGGAAGCUGCAGGAAAUGCAAUGUGUUUGAUGUCAGAGGUGCUUCUCUUUAGGUAGCCUAUGGCUCGAAACCACUUUUUCAUGUCCAACUUUGAGUAUUGGCCGAUACUGAUGCCAAUCCGGUACUGUCUUUUGUCCUCUCUGAAACAAGCCAGCUGUUGAUAGUAUGUUUGUAUGGAUGCUGUUUACUUAACCUAGACAUCUAAAACACAUCAUAACACAAAUAUUCUACUCCCGUACAGGAAGAAUACUUAUCCCACAACAUGACUCAGUAAUGCAUACUGCUGCUUCAUUUUAUUUAAACUUUUCAUAGCAUUUUUGAUUGGUCAGCACCAUUCAAACAUUCAAAAUGAAAGUUUAAGGACAACUUCAUGCAAGAGGAAUUUUAACUCUAGUGUAAAAUACUGGAUAAAACUCAAUAAUAAGUGUAGCCUCUACCUAAAUGACAAAAAAAAGUUACACUGUAGACCAUAACUUUAAUAACUAUAACUUUACAUAACAAUAGUAUCUCCAGUAUAAAAUGUACAGUGGAACACUGUACACUAACCGUGGCAUCUUAAUGCAGUCACACCUGUAACUGCAGGCUAUUACAUCUGAAAUCAGGUGAGCUGCAUUGAAAAACAAUAUCUAAGGUAGACAGUGCAAGCUCUUCAUGUGAACUGCUGUUCAUGUGACACGUACUGGUCAUCUGUUACUUAUUGUGUGGCAUGUCUCUUCACGGCAUGUCACGCAAAGCUUAGUUAUGCAUUUACAUACUUCAGGCUAAAGGAACGUGUUGAAAUAUACUUUACUGUUUUUUGGAUAUCCAAUCCAAUAAUUAUAGCCAGUAUUGGAGCAAUACAGAUACUGUGUAUCCUUUCUUUUCUUCAAUAAAAACAUAUCUACACAA